UCUGGACUUAUCUGGCUGUUGAAUUCCAGUACUAUUUCUUCUGCUUUCCUCCUUCUGGGACUUUAUUCCCCUCAUAUUGUUUUCUGUUCUUUUUUCAUUUUCUUUUGGGUGUAGGGAUUUCAGGCUUUGAUGUAAUGUUCUCUUUCAUUUUUUGGUGCAUUCCCAUGCUUGUCUUCGCUCAAUUUCUGCUCAAUCUAUUACAUAGUAAGAAAUCUCCUACGGAGAGUUGCCAUGGUGGUCCCCACAUUCUACCAUGAGGGAAGAACCCUUCUCUUCUUUUUCUAUUCUUUUCAUCCAACACGUUAAUCUUCUUUGGCUUUUCCUUCCUUUUUGUAUUCUUUUCUUUUUGUUUACCAAUCUUAAUAUUAUUCCAAAUUCUACUAGCUGAUGCCUCAAAAACCAUUUGAUGAAUAGGUUUACGCAUGAAUUUUGGAUGAGGGUGAAAAUGAUGAGGAAUUGAAAUUUUAUUCACCAAUAGAAAGGCGAUGAGAAGGUUGCGACAUAGUUAACCAGGGACUAAGUAUGUUAAUGGCCAUAAUUCUUAAAGCUUUGGGACCUUAUCCGGGGAGAGAUUAUGGAAGUGACGAUGAUUUCCAACCUGAAAGACUGCCGCUAUUGAAAAAUUAUGUCCCUCCACCUCCUCGUGUUGCUGGUGAUCAGAUCCAUGGGACCAAGAAUGAUUCUUCUAUUACAAGGAUUAACAGUAAGAUGAAUAAAAUUCUGACAUGACCGAAGUGGCAGAUGAUGAACAAUGGGAAGAGGUUGCCAGAUCUGAAGUAGCAACCUAAUAAUUUUCUUCUAUUGUUUUUGUAGUAUUGUUGAUUCUUGUGGUAAUUGAUAGAAUUCUUGUAGUUUAACAUGUAUAUAUAUGCUUUACAUUCUUGAUGGAACUAGUGAUAUAAACAUGAAACGUGGGGAUAGUGUCAUUUAAAAUACGAGUAUUCAAAUUGAAGGUAUGAUAUAUUUUAAUGUUGUAAUGCUAAAUAUUUAUGGUCUAAAUUGUGCAACAAUGUUUAUGAGAAAAA
Molecule: long non-coding RNA, 1025 nt
Organism: Olea europaea var. sylvestris
Lineage: Eukaryota; Viridiplantae; Streptophyta; Magnoliopsida; Lamiales; Oleaceae
Exons: 3
Source: RefSeq, a predicted model, not a curated record